GUCAAAGGAAAAGAGAGGUGAUCAGCCAGCCAGCAACAUUCAUAUGCAUCGAGCCUGGGGCCAGUUGCAAAGAAUAGUCGAAGUCGGACCUCAGUAGAUAUUCUACUGAAUUAUGACUGGCCUUCCCCACCCUAUGCUGUGCAAGGGGGGGAGAGACAGACCUGGGGACCACAACACCUGAACUGGACAUGAGUGUUCCCGGCAGCCCUCUUUCAACACCCGAGCUCAGUGAUUUUGCAGUGUGAGGAUUUAUGAUGACAGCCAGAAGAAAGCUCAGAUAGACUCGUUCAGCUCCAGCGACCAGGGACUG
Long non-coding RNA from Mauremys mutica (yellowpond turtle), 310 nucleotides. RefSeq lists it as uncharacterized. The record is from RefSeq and is a predicted model, not a curated record. The transcript is spliced from 3 exons. Lineage: Eukaryota; Metazoa; Chordata; Testudines; Geoemydidae.